CUUUCCUGCAACUUGACGUUGGAACUUGGCUGUAUUUGUGUAGGAUAGGUGGGAGACUUUGAAGCAGGGCCGCCAGGUCUUGCGGAGUCGUCGUUGAAAUACCACCCUGGUGCUGACGAGUUUCUAACCGUGUCCGUAAGCCGGACAUGAGACAGCGUCUGGUGGGCAGUUUGACUGGGGCGGUCGCCUCCUAAAAGGUAACGGAGGCAUUCAAAGGUCCCCUCAGCGUGGUCGGUAAUCACGCGCAGAGUGCAAACGCAUAAGGGGGCUUAACUGCGAGACCGACAGGUCGAGCAGGAACGAAAGUAGGAGUGAGUGAUCCCGCGGCUUAGCGUGGAAUUGCCGUUGCUCAAUGGAUAAAAGGUA
Molecule: ribosomal RNA, 366 nt
Filed under: uncultured organism
Description: bacterial LSU rRNA
Rfam family: Bacterial large subunit ribosomal RNA
Source: RNAcentral